Long non-coding RNA from Cercocebus atys (sooty mangabey), 3192 nucleotides. RefSeq lists it as uncharacterized. The transcript is spliced from 2 exons. The record is from RefSeq and is a predicted model, not a curated record. Lineage: Eukaryota; Metazoa; Chordata; Mammalia; Primates; Cercopithecidae.
UGCUAGGAUUACAGGUGUGAGCCACCGCGCCCGGCCCUCCAUACCUAUCUUCUUAGUCCCUCUGGCACUCUUAGACGACAGUGACUUCUUUCUAAAGCCAACCCUGCCUUUCGUGUUUUGAGUCUAUGCUUCCCGACUGCAAAUAAGUUUAACUGUAAUAAUUAUAUAUUAAAUAGUUAUAAUAGGCCUGGCUUGGUGUCCAGAAAAGCCUGGGCCGCGAAAGGGAUUCCGUAAAUAUCCGUGGGAUGUGAAACGUCCUCACAAACUGCAAAUCCCAGCAGGCGGAGAGACAGAAGUACAGGCCCAUUGAUUUGCCUCCAACUGCCACCCCGACCCCACCCCGCACACGCGCGUAGGGCUCUCCGGGGACGCCCCAGAGCCCGCGCACGCGGCCGUGAGCCCGCCCGGAGCGGGUGGAUCCCUCGGCCCUCAGCGGCCACCCCACUGGUCCCCGACAGAAAGGCCCGCCGGAUGGCAGCUAAUCCGCGCGCGGCGAGCCGCCCUCACCCCUCGAGCCCCGCCCCCGGCCGCGGAGGUCCCGCGCUAACGAGGGGUCCUCCCGGCGUCCUAGAGAGGCCCCGCGACAGACGCACUUCCGCUCGCGCCGCAGGGGCUCUUACCUCUCGGAUGCCGGGCUGGCAGGCCUGCUAGCGCAUUUGGGGACUUUUUGGAGGAGACGAGUACCAACAGAGUUGGGUCCAUCAGAAGACACCUGCCUGUGAAGCGUAUUAUAAACAAGUAAAAACAAUGGGUGUUCUUGUCCGCGGUACUGCAGGAGAGUGGAGUGGCCGUCGAUUCCCAGGAUUAGGAGACAAGGACGUGGGAAAGACCCCUGGGGGAUUGGAAAGGGGUCCGAGCUCGGGUCCCGGGGCUCCUGAAAUGGACUUCCACUGUCCGGUCGGUCACUGCCCUCAAGCCACCUUCCUCCUUCCCUUCUGUGCAUCGUGCUGGCUCAGCGCUUCGGGGAGAGGGACAGGUGGGCGCGACGUUGUGUGGCCGCCCUGCGUUUGGGACCCUUUCCUGCUCCGCAGCGCUGACGCCGCUGGGCUGUUGAGGCGCCCAGCGCAGGUGUUGAGCGCUUGCCCGCCGCGCCCAGCGCAGGUGCUUCACGUUUCAGGCGGCCAGCGAGUGGAUGACGACUGUGUCCACCUGCCCCGCUGAGGCUGCUCCCUUUCUCAUGUGAUCGCCAGAAUCGUCCCCGCCCCUUCCCACUGGGCUUUUACUGAGGUCCAGCUGACUUCCAUUUGCAGGGGUUCACCCAGACAAGUCUUUUUGACAUAGCUUUAUUCCCAAAGCUGAGAGGUGCGGUGAAGAGGAAAUUAUUGCGGAAGUGACUCGGUCUUUUUUUUUUUUUUUUAAAGGUAAAAUGUUUUAUUUGGGGAACAGUGGUUAGAGGAUGAAUUUCAGGAAGUUCAUGAAUUCUCUGAAACUGCAUGUACAUUUUUCCGGGCAGAGCUUUCCUGGUUCUCAAAGAAGAUUCAUGACUUAACAGCAUUAAGAACCUGGCAUCCGCCAGGAGUCACAACACUUGUAAAAAUUGAAUGGUAAACAAGCAGCAGCACCCGCCGCCACCGUGAAAUUUCAGUAAUGUGAUUUUUUGUUAAAGGCCAUACAAAUGGUCCGGAAUAUCUUAAGUUGUUAAUCAUGAAGAAAAACGUGUAUACCAACACACACACAAUAGAUAACACUUGUCCUGUUAUUUAAGAUGAAGGAUCUCACCAAGCAAAGCAGAAGAUCAAGGACACAGAAUGUGCACUGUAUGCAAAACCAGAAGCUAACAAGCAUGUUGGGGUACUUUGUAUUUGCACAAAUCAUCAUUACCAGUCAUGACUGUGGUCAGAUGCUGACUCCCAAGUAAGUCGAAGAGGGAGGCAAACAGAAGGGAAAGAAAAAUCUUCCUGAGAUAUCUGGGUAAGACGUGGAAGAGGACAGGGAAUUGAGGUUAAGGGUUUGCGUAUAGUGUACCUAACAAGAUGCAGGUGAUUUCAUUCACCAGCAAUCUUUGGCGGCGGGGGGGGCAGGCGGGUAGGGAAUAUAUAUCUAUAUAUGGUAGAUUUUUCUGGGAAUGAGACGUGAGACUUCCCCCUUAAGAACAUGCUCAGGUACAACAGGUCACUAAAUUGCCUCCUAAUGUUCCAUUGAAUUAAUGGUGAACUAGAGGACGUUUUGCUGAGCAGUGAUGGGAUUGAGCUAGGGCCAGGGGAAGUGAGAGGGUGGACUGGAUAUCUAGUAGGCAAAAAGAAGUUGAGGUGACUGAGCCUUGAGAGGGAAGGACAAAGAGAAAAACCUGCACUGGUGGUUUGGCCAAUAAGGUACUUCUGAGAACAAAACGUCUAAUAGGAUGCACAGUGUGAGCUCUUCUCCUUUGCUUACACACUAUCUUCAGUGAAGUCCAGAUUGCUCAGGGGUGUUUGUGUGAAUAGAUUGUUCAGGAGAAGCCUGAAGGGGUGCCGAAUUCUCUGUCAGGGCUGACGAGGUAAAUGUGGCAAUGAAACAUGCCAACGGAAUCAGGCAUGGAAGGGAUCGUGAGAUCCAGGUUUCCUGUGGGAAAGAGAUGGUCUGGGCACAAUUCAGUCUGCGCUCCAGCAAUGAGAACAGGAGGAAGAGGGCGCACUGCACUUGUCAUCAACCAAAGGGAAGAAGUAAAUCAAACACCUUCCCUUACCAAGAGUGUGACUGUUCCAGGCAGAGGUAUCUGGAAGGACGUGAAAACUCUGCAGUCAUCUAUUUGUACAACCCUUUUCUCAAGCCAAGUAGAUAAACCUGGGAAGACACCUAUAUUGGAGUACAGAAUAAACCCAUUUGGUGAAUUAUUUUGGCUGUGAUCAGUUCUGUUACCAAGGACAUGAUUUAAAUUCAUUAUAUUCAAAUCUACGUAGAAAUCAGUAAUAGAAAAUGUGCAAAGGAGCUCAGAUAAGGCGGGAAUGAAUGUGGCUGUCUGCAGCACAGCACAGUGGUUAAGACCAUCAACCAGGUUUGGAGUCUUGGCUCUGGCUCUUCCUAGCUGUGUAAUCAUGGGUCAAUUACUUAACACUGCCCCUUCUGCCCCCUCCUUAUCUUUUAAAUUGGGGUAAGAAUACCCACAUCAUUGAUGGUUGCACCACUAUAUAAAUUAAAAAUCAUUCAACUGAACACUUAAAACAGGUGCAUUUUAUAGUAUGUAAAUUAUACCUUCAUAAAGCUUUAAAAAAA